UUUUCCGUCGGUUUUCGACGUCUCUCUGAGAGACCUAAUGGACCAAACGAUGGGGAAUAUGAUAGCACAGCAGCAAAUGAUAUCAACCAACAAAAACACCUGGUUCCAGGUGACCCAGUCCUUGAUAAACGGCCCAGUUUCCCCAAUCACAACGGACGCCACGUUGGCCAAGACCUGCAGAGGGAUAACAAUCAUCAACACUUUCUUCUCCUUCUCCUGCAAGAAGGGCUUCAAAAACGACCACCCGGUCCCGAUCAAAACGAUCACC
RNAcentral lists this long non-coding RNA (268 nucleotides) under Prunus persica (peach). Its description in RNAcentral is "long non-coding RNA (PPER_LNC006619)". Lineage: Eukaryota; Viridiplantae; Streptophyta; Magnoliopsida; Rosales; Rosaceae. The record is from RNAcentral.